GGGGCGUUAGCUCAGCUGGGAGAGCGCCUCCAUGGCAUGGAGGAGGUCGAGAGUUCGAUCCUCUUACGCUCCACCA
This 76-nucleotide transfer RNA is filed under the name Tenericutes bacterium ADurb.BinA155. RNAcentral's name for it is "tRNA-Ala". It matches the Rfam family "tRNA". Rfam says of the family: Transfer RNA (tRNA) molecules are approximately 80 nucleotides in length. Their secondary structure includes four short double-helical elements and three loops (D, anti-codon, and T loops). Lineage: Bacteria; Bacillati; Mycoplasmatota. The record is from RNAcentral. RNAcentral also lists the same sequence under 2 other names.